UGCCGCGUGGGUCGGGAUGAAGCCGGCGCGCUCCAGGCUCUCUUUGAGUAUGGUCCGCGCUAUGCGCGCGUUCUGCGCCCGGCGCGGUUG
Molecule: transfer RNA, 90 nt
Filed under: Thermoflexales bacterium
Lineage: Bacteria; Bacillati; Chloroflexota; Thermoflexia; Thermoflexales
Description: tRNA-Trp
Source: RNAcentral